UUCGUAGCUUGAUUUUUAAGUCUCUUGGGAAAUCUGCAGGCUUAACCUGCAGGCGUUCAAGAGAUACUGGAAAUCUAGGAACCGGGAGAGGUAAGAGGUACUCCAGGGGUAGAAGUGAAAUUCUGUAAUCCUUGGGGGACCACCGAUGGCGAAGGCAUCUUACCAGAACGGCUUCGACAGUGAGGAACGAAAGCUGGGGGAGCGAACAGGAUUAGAUACCCUGGUAGUCC
This 230-nucleotide ribosomal RNA is filed under the name uncultured bacterium. Its description in RNAcentral is "partial 16S ribosomal RNA". It matches the Rfam family "Archaeal small subunit ribosomal RNA", at positions 518 to 747 of the family's 1478-position model. The record is from RNAcentral.